UUUAGGAUUUGGCCAUUUUAUUCUCACUGAGUAGAGCAAUCUUGCUCUCUUCCUUUGCCAAGAUAAUCAGGAUCUCUUUCUCCUCCAAAAUGUUCCGGCUCCCAGAGCAGAGUGGAGCUAAUCUUGGUUGCUAGGCGGGUCCAAGUAGUAGUUCAUUGUGCCACCUGGUGGCGGUGGAAGAAGCCCGCAGCUUCAGUCGAGGAGGAAGGAAGGUGGGGCGGGCGGGAAAUUGAGUCCUCAUCAGGCUUUAGAGGGAGGUGAUCCAGGAAUGCAGGUGCUGGGUUAGGGAGUACAAACUACCUCGAAUACUGAGCCUUUCAGUCACUUCAUCGUCUUGCGGGGCUGGGGCGCGGGCGGGGAGUGUGUGCUAGACAGCCGUAUUCCAGUCCCCAAAGCAGCGUCCUUUGCUAGAUUUGACCCACGUCGACCCUGAAACCAGAGAAGAGCCUCAGCAUGUGCGUCAUAGGGAUGAAAUCAGGAGAGAAGUGUUGCCAGGUCGGGGAAGGAGGAAAGAUUCCACGGGAACUCACCCAGUACCUCCACCACCUCAUUUACCCCCCACCGCAUACAUCUUGAUAUCCGAGGACCCAGAACACUCAGGGUCAGAACCAGGAGGCAACAUCCCCAUCCAGGAUCUCAAAGAAACAAGCUCCUGCCCUCGAUUUGGGGACAAGAGGAAUCCUGUGUUUGUUUGCACCUCUUCCCCGAGGGUGGUACUCAGACCUCCUUUUAUGCAUGAUGAUACUGGGAGCCUGAAGAGGGAUGUGACUUGUCCAAGAUCGCACAGCUAGUAAUGGUCAAAAUGAGGUUACGAGCCCUCGAACUCCUCUGCCUUUUUUGCUAUGAAUUUAUUCCAUCUUCUUCAGGGUAGCCUUUGCAUGGAACCCAGAAUACCUUAGUGCUUGGUCUUAUCCUUCUCCCUACUUCUGUCCUCCUUGACCCCUGCUACUCACACUAAGAUGUCAUCCUGGGAGCAGCCAUCAAUAAGGACCAAGCAGACGAGUGGCACAGUCUGGGCUCCUAGCAUAGUCCCUUAAUCCCCAGAGAGACUGUGCCCCACCAGGUGGCAUAGGGCCAGCUAGGUCCUGGCCCCUUUUUCCAUACAUUCGACUGUCAGGACUACCUGCUUCAUCAGAGCUACCAGAACUCAAGCACUGAAACUCACAACCGCAGUCCACACCAUUGCAGUAAUCUCGGGCUGAAACAGAAGCACCAGCUACCAUCAGAGGGGGACAAUGACUGCUUCAACUGCAAGGAAUCCCCCCCAUCCCUAGUGCAUAACCAAAGGCCUCCCCUUUUUCUCUAAGCAAACCCCUUUCUUCAGCUUCUCCCUUUCUGCGCUCCCCAAUUAUCUUCUCUCCUCCUGCCCAUCUUUCUCUGGACUAUCUCCACAGUCUCAGAGGCCCACAUGGGCUCCCAGCAGUGCUACCCUCCUUACCCUGACAGCUCCUGCCUCCCGGAUGCAGGCCAAAGCCUUGGCUUUGACUGUGUAAAACACUUUACUCAGUGACUUUUUCAGGAGCCCUGUUGGAUAUCCGAUAAAGGUCCCAGAGUAGUUUAAGAAAUAGAUCCUGCCUCCUGAGAUUUCAUAGCCUAAUGGAGAGACAAAU
RNAcentral lists this long non-coding RNA (1610 nucleotides) under Monodelphis domestica (gray short-tailed opossum). RNAcentral's name for it is "lncRNA (ENSMODG00000050733.1)". Lineage: Eukaryota; Metazoa; Chordata; Mammalia; Didelphimorphia; Didelphidae. The record is from RNAcentral.